RNAcentral lists this long non-coding RNA (1121 nucleotides) under Catharus ustulatus (Swainson's thrush). RNAcentral's name for it is "lncRNA (ENSCUSG00005003004.1)". The record is from RNAcentral. Lineage: Eukaryota; Metazoa; Chordata; Aves; Passeriformes; Turdidae.
CCGGGCGGAGGGGAGCGGGAUGGGCGCGGAAGGCGGGGCCGCGAGGGGAGGUGGAGGCUGCGGCCGGGCCCCCGUGCCUCUCAUCUCCUCGGAGUCCGGCAGGCGCUCCGCUGCUGUCCCGAGGCCGCCUUCCCCUCCGAGCGGCGCUGCCGGGCGCUGCCCCCCGCGGACGGAGCCGAGCCGCGCCGCCGCUGCUGCCGCCCCCCGCGGCGGGACCUGCGGCGCGGAGGAGAGGCCGGGCUGCCGGCCCGAGCCCUGAAACCCCUUUCUCAGGAAAACCUCCCAGUGACUUGGGGUGAUGCUUUCCCGGGAUAAUGUCAGCACAGUGUGGAUCCCUGAUGGUUCAGAAUUACAGUGAGUGUGCUGUCUCGGUACAAAAUUCAGCAGCGUACUCACAGCGCUGGAAACUUGGCUUUCAGCAGCGAGACACCCUCCACCCCUCGUUGACAGCUGCCUCCCGGAGCAGAAGGGAUGUGCACUGAGGAUGGACAUUAAAUAACGUUUGUGAGUUAGGUUACUGUCUCUUGCAGGACUCCUAAUUUUUCUUCAGAUGUUUUCCAAAAAGACAUAUAGUCUGGAAUACUUCUUUCUAGCAAUUUAUAAGGCACUGAAUAGUGAAUUGUAGGUGCACUUCUAGGGUUUUCAAAGGCUAUUACUGUUGUUACUGGCAAAUAAUUUCGUGUUAACUGGUAUCAAAAGCCAGAUGGAAUAUGAUGCUAUGAUGCUUGAGUUUUGUUACACGCAGUUGCAUGGCUGAAACUCAUAGUUCACAUGCAUUUAUUUGCACACACUUUCUUUUGUCUUUCUGUCUUGUUUUCUGCUGCAUAAACCUUUAAUGCUGUAUUAACAUUGUAUUAAACAUUGUAUCCCAAAAGAACCAAUAAAUCAGCUUUUAGGAUCAGCAGCUGGCAUUCUAGCUUAUGAGUUGCUUUUAUUCACAUCACAAUAUCAUUUAUUACAUCCUCAUCAAUAUAAACAUUUAACUGGAAAUUAAUAAUGGACUCUUUGUUUCUGAAAUUUCUGAAUGAAGAGUGAUAGGAACACAAGAACUGGGUGAAGCAGGCUUUUCCAUACAGAGCUUCCCAAACUAAAUUAUGCUUUUGUAUCUCUGAGACAGUGUG